UACGAAGGGGGCUAGCGUUGUUCGGAUUUACUGGGCGUAAAGCGCGCGCAGGCGGCUUGGCAAGUUGAGGGUGAAAUCCCAGAGCUCAACUCUGGAAUUGCCUUCAAGACUGCUGGGCUUCGAGUACGGGAGAGGUGAGUGGAAUUCCCAGUGUAGAGGUGAAAUUCGUAGAUAUUGGGAAGAACACCAGUGGCGAAGGCGGCUCACUGGCCCGUUACUGACGCUCAGGCGCGAUAGCGUGGGGAUCAAACAGGA
RNAcentral lists this ribosomal RNA (255 nucleotides) under uncultured bacterium. Its description in RNAcentral is "partial 16S ribosomal RNA". It matches the Rfam family "Bacterial small subunit ribosomal RNA", at positions 524 to 777 of the family's 1533-position model. The record is from RNAcentral.